UUUCGGGCAUAGUGGCGCACGGGUGCGUAACGCGUGGGAAUCUGCCCCUUGGUUCGGAAUAACUCAGAGAAAUUUGAGCUAAUACCGGAUGACGACGUAAGUCCAAAGAUUUAUCGCCGAGGGAUGAGCCCGCGUAGGAUUAGCUAGUUGGUGGGGUAAAGGCCUACCAAGGCGACGAUCCUUAGCUGGUCUGAGAGGAUGAUCAGCCACACUGGGACUGAGACACGGCCCAGACUCCUACGGGAGGCAGCAGUGGGGAGUAUUGGACAAUGGGCGAAAGCCUGAUCCAGCAAUGCCGCGUGAGUGAUGAAGGCCUUAGGGUUGUAAAGCUCUUUUACCCGGGAUGAUAAUGACAGUACCGGGAGAAUAAGCUCCGGCUAACUCCGUGCCAGCAGCCGCGGUAAUACGGAGGGAGCUAGCGUUGUUCGGAAUUACUGGGCGUAAAGCGCACGUAGGCGGCUUUGUAAGUUAGAGGUGAAAGCCUGGAGCUCAACUCCAGAACUGCCUUUGAUACUGCAUGGCUUGAAUCCAAGAGAGGUGAGUGGAAUUCCGAGUGUAGAGGUGAAAUUCGUAGAUAUUCGGAAGAACACCAGUGGCGAAGGCGGCUCACUGGCUUGGUAUUGACGCUGAGGUGCGAAAGCGUGGGGGGCAAACAGGAUUAGAUACCCUGGUAGUCCACGCCGUAAACGAUGAUAACUAGCUGUCGGGGCACUUGGUGUUUCGGUGGCGCAGCU
RNAcentral lists this ribosomal RNA (734 nucleotides) under uncultured bacterium. RNAcentral's name for it is "SSU rRNA". It matches the Rfam family "Bacterial small subunit ribosomal RNA", at positions 84 to 853 of the family's 1533-position model. The record is from RNAcentral.